Molecule: long non-coding RNA, 427 nt
Organism: Pseudopipra pipra
Lineage: Eukaryota; Metazoa; Chordata; Aves; Passeriformes; Pipridae
Exons: 3
Source: RefSeq, a predicted model, not a curated record
AAUUACUAUGAUGCAAACAACAGAACUUUCCAUUUCUGGUUGUUGUUAGAUCAUGGGUCAAGUCAUGUAAAGAGCUUUUAGUGUGUGCUCAGAAGCCUUUUCUCUACAGAUGAGGUUUUCAGCAGUUGAUCCACACACUGUUAAAAUCAGUUGCAUGUUGGCUCCAUGCUUGGAGCUUGAUUGUUCCCAUCGCUGUUUUCUGGUGAAUGCUUUCUGCAAGCCCACAGGCCCAAAACAUCUUUGCUUCGAUGUGUCUGUAUGUGCAAGAUAAAUACCGAGCCCCAGAAGUGACAGAGUGAAGGUUUGAAAAGAACCAGAAAUGGCUGCGAUGAGACAGGAACUUCUCUGCAAGUUGCAAAGGACCCAGUUCAUCCCUGAUAAUCCUGUGCUUUUCAAAACUGCCUACAAAUAGAAGUGAGGUCCAAAA